Non-coding RNA from Mycena olivaceomarginata, 93 nucleotides. Lineage: Eukaryota; Fungi; Basidiomycota; Agaricomycetes; Agaricales; Mycenaceae. The record is from the annotation of a GenBank genome assembly.
GUGCCCUUAGUGUACGGUAACACAUGUCUUACAUCUGCUUGGCGACACAGCAGAAUUCGAGGCAAACCCGGGGUUCGAUUCCCCGAGGGUGCA